UACGGGGGGAGCAAGCGUUGUUCGGAUUUACUGGGCGUAAAGGGCGCGUAGGCGGUUGCGCGCGUGGGGUGUGAAAUCUGGCCGCUUAACGGCCAGGCGCCAUCCCAUACGGCGCGACUGGAGUGAUGCAGAGGUCGAUGGAAUUGCCGGUGUAGUGGUGAAAUGCGUAGAGAUCGGCAGGAACACCCAGGGGGAAACCAGUCGACUGGGCAUCUACUGACGCUGAGGUGCGAGAGCGUGGGGAGCGAACCGG
This 253-nucleotide ribosomal RNA is filed under the name uncultured bacterium. RNAcentral describes it as "partial 16S ribosomal RNA". It matches the Rfam family "Bacterial small subunit ribosomal RNA", at positions 524 to 776 of the family's 1533-position model. The record is from RNAcentral.